GGUUUAUUAGUUUAAUAAAAAUAUAGAUUUUGUAAGUCUAAGAUGGUUUAACAAUCCAUUAACCU
RNAcentral lists this transfer RNA (65 nucleotides) under Taenia caixuepengi. RNAcentral's name for it is "tRNA-Thr". The record is from RNAcentral. Lineage: Eukaryota; Metazoa; Platyhelminthes; Cestoda; Cyclophyllidea; Taeniidae.